Solanum lycopersicum (tomato) is the source of this 1585-nucleotide RNA transcript. RefSeq lists it as uncharacterized. The record is from RefSeq and is a predicted model, not a curated record. Lineage: Eukaryota; Viridiplantae; Streptophyta; Magnoliopsida; Solanales; Solanaceae.
GAAAUUAUUUUUUUCAAAAAAUUCAAAAUUACGUUGCCCCAUAGGGUUUAUAAAAAGAGGAAAACUGGGAAAGAGAAGAGUUUUCCCUCCACAAUCCUGCCUUUUCACGGAGCUCGAUAAUGGCCGAUUUCUCAGCUUGCCCUAUCUGUAAUCUCAGAGUUCUCACCUCUGAACUCGAAAGGCACGCUAACAGUCACUUCGACGAUGAAGACAUUGACAAAGACUUCGAAUUGGCUCAACAAAUUGCCCUUGACCUUGCCUGUACCCCUUCAAGUCCACCUUAUAUCCCGGUUGAUGAUGACAUGCAGUGUGAAACUAGUUCUCGAAAGGAUCGCGAGUGUAGUAUUUUGAAGUAUGAGGCCAAAAAUUGCAAUCAUGGAGGGAAAGAUAUUGAUGAAAAAGCAAGGAUUUUAUCUAGUGUGUACCUUAAUGAAACCCGACCUCAGAUUGGACAAGGGUUAAUGGAUUUGUUGAAGAACUGUUUAGAGUUGGAGACUGAAAAGACCACCACUAUUUUGUGUGUUAAUGUUGAUCAUUUCCAAAGCAGCCAUUCGGAGGAUUUUGGGUGGGGUUGUGGCUGGCGUAAUAUCCAGAUGCUUAGUUCUCACUUGCUUAAGCAACGACAAGAAGCAAGGGAGGUCUUGUAUGGAGGUUCUGGGUUUGUACCUGACAUCCCUUCACUCCAAAGAUGGCUUGAAAUUGCUUGGAAAAGAGGCUUUGAUAAACAGGGAUCAGAAGACUUUGAUCGAGCAAUUUAUGGCAAAAGAAAUUGGAUCGGAACUACAGAAUGUGCUACGCUCUUCCGUUCAUUUGGCCUUCGUGCCAGGAUAGUGGACUUUGUAAGCCGGGAGAUAGACAUUAGGUCAAGUGGAGUUGGUAAAUGUGUGGGCAACAUGACACCACAAGUUUAUGGACCAAUGGAUGGAUAUCUGUCCAAAGGGAAAAAUUCUGUAUCCAAGGCUGUUCCGAUUUCGUAUGAUGUAAAGGCUAAGCCUAAGGUCCAGCAGGCACUCAUUGAUUGGGUGUGGAAUUACUUUUCUGACAAUAAAUCCAGGAAAUACGGCAAUCAUGGUAUCCUAGUCAGUCAAAAAGCGCCUUUGUACUUCCAGCAUGAUGGCCAUUCAAGAACCAUUGUUGGGAUUCAAAUGAAAUGCCAGAGAAAUGGACCGAUGCAGUACAAUCUAUUGAUCUUAGAUCCAGGUCAUACAACAGAAUCCCUGGCAAAAUCUCUUAAAGGAAACUUCGGUUGGCAAAAGCUAAUAAAAAGAGGUGUACACACUCUGAAGAAGCCAUUAUAUCAGUUAUGUUUUCUUGAUCCUGGAAUUGCUUCUGGGGAGGAGAUUGAGAGCCUAAAGAAUCUACACAGCAUCCGUGUUGAAGCUUCGUCCUAAAAUCUCAAGGAUGUAUAAUAUGCAACUAGAAUUUCAGACAGUUAUUUUAAAGGGGUGCUCUUAGCUUUGGCACUAUUUGAAGCUAAUUAAAUAAUUCAACACCUAUCAAUCCCAUACUGGCCCUAUCUGUUUUUUUUCUUCACCAAAUGCAACAGUGCUAUGACCAAUAAGUUAAUAGUUUACAUGAGGGUGAA